CACCGCCUCACCUGGCGGCUCGGUGCUAGCCCCCGGGAGCGGGCUGACCUUCACGCCCGCCCUAAGCCGGCCCUGGCCCCUCUGCGGCCCCCAGCUCUGGGAAACCCCUGGGGCGGGGACACCCAGCAGCCCGAUCCCCGAGCCACAGUUGACCCUCUGGACCCUGAAAGCCCAGGAAUCCGAGCCUCGGGCUAGCCACUCACCAUUGGUAAAGGGCUCCAUCUUCGCCCCGCCGCGGGUCCUCACAAGCCAAGCGCCCCAAGCUUCCUACUGCGAGAGCUGAAGCGGCCCAGCCGACUGAGCAUGCCCAGCGAGGCCUCCGAGGACUGGCGGGGAGGUGCGGCGAGGGGCGGCGCCGCUCUGCCCAGCGGCAACAACACCUUCGUUCCGGGUUUUCGCAACUGCUGCAAAAAGACCCACUGAGGCGUGGACUCAGCGCGGCGCAGCGCAACCCCCGGCCUACUCGGCCAGGAGGCGGGGGAGGACCGUGCGGGGCGGGGGCGGGGCCUUCGCAAGCCCCGCCCCCCGCGGCAUACUUGGGGCCGCGGAGUUCUCAGUGCCGCAGAGCGGUACCCCGGUUCCAACAACUAGUGCACCUACUGCUUCCGCCUGUGUUCCGGGUGCAGCAAGCCCAGCACUGAGCCGGGAAACGCGGCCGGCUCAGAGAACAUCCUGGAAGAGGGACAGAAAAGAGUAUAAAGGACAGAGGAUGGAGAGGAGCACUAUGAAAUGCUGCCUUUGGGACACAAUAUGGCCAUUGCACCCAUGAACAAACUCAACUAUGGUAACCUGCACAGACUCAAAGCAACAAAAUCAAGGACUAUUGAACUGGCCUUCCUGCACUCACUAUGUAUCUGUCAGAUCAAGAGGAUAACUGGGCCCAGGCAGCUGAGCUGCUGAACAAUUUGGAAAAUACCCAGCUGUGAGCCUUGCACCACAAGAGGUUCAAAGAAGAAUUUCACCUGAAAAAAACAUUUAAAAUGGCUGCCAUGUUUUACAAAACACAACUUUUUCCAAAAGAUUUCAGAACAGCUUGAAAAUUAUAUACACAAGUACAAUCAAUUUUGUGCUGACCUGUAUAAGAUUGCUUUCUUGUUUGUGCAUAAUUACUAUUUUACUUUAUUUUUACAUAAUAAAAUUGGUUAUCUUACAAGUGAGCACUGUGCAUGAAGUGAAGUAGCUUAUUUAUCCAAGUUGCAGAAUAUAUGAUAAGCUGGGAUUUUAGAUCUGGAAUUCCAAAUUUGCUUACAGGAUAAUUUCAGGUGUAAUGUAACAAGUCUAUAAAAUAUUAGAGUAUGAGAAGAUGUAAAACAAGACAAAUUUUUUAAACAAAAACAACUAGAAUUAUUGACUAUAGUAAUUCUAUUUAAAAGACAAAUAUAUUUCCAAACUUUAAUAUGAUCAUCCUUGUAUCAUAUGCAAUAUGAAUGAAAUAUAAAAACAUCAUUAUGUCAUAUAGUUUCAACUGUAAUGCUAUGAAUACAUAUUUAAGAGGUUACAAUCUACCUGUUCUACUCACUUGUGUGGCAUUUGGCAAUCAACUUUUUUCUUCAAAUAAAAUGAGAACUUUGAAUUAGAUUGAAUACAAAUUUACUUAAUUCUAAAAUUUAGGCUUUUUUGGAAUAGAAAGUCACAAACUUUCUGCAACUUAUCCUUAGAAGAAAAGUGAGAUGUGCCAGAGAUGAUGAUUCUCACAGCAAACAAGCCCAAGUCAAAUCUGAAAAAGCAAACUUACAGAUUUAAAUAACAUAAACACUGGCCUGAUGUUAUUUUAU
Molecule: long non-coding RNA, 1775 nt
Organism: Onychomys torridus (southern grasshopper mouse)
Lineage: Eukaryota; Metazoa; Chordata; Mammalia; Rodentia; Cricetidae
Exons: 4
Source: RefSeq, a predicted model, not a curated record